This is a long non-coding RNA of Vitis vinifera (wine grape), 296 nucleotides long. RefSeq lists it as uncharacterized. NCBI's taxonomy places the organism in Eukaryota, Viridiplantae, Streptophyta, Magnoliopsida, Vitales, Vitaceae. The record is from RefSeq and is a predicted model, not a curated record. The transcript has 2 exons.
GGCUGCAAGAUAUUCCUCAACAGGAAAAUGAUGGUGAUUGUGGCAUGUUUGUUAUCAAAUAUGCUGAAUACUUAAUGCACAACCAUCCAUUGAAGUCAUUAACAAGUGCACGAAUGGACUGGUUUCGGGAAAAGAUGGUAGCAGAGUUAUUUUAUAUGAAAUACUUGCCUAUGUAAUGAAUUCAUGUUGAUAUUUCACAUUUUGAUAAUGUAGUUGGAUGGUUUGUUAUAUGUAAUUGGAUAGCUUCAUAUAUGUAGUUAGGCAUUUUGAUAAAUGUAGUUGGACAGGUUGAUAUA